This 612-nucleotide ribosomal RNA is filed under the name Triticum aestivum (bread wheat). Its description in RNAcentral is "partial small subunit ribosomal RNA". Lineage: Eukaryota; Viridiplantae; Streptophyta; Magnoliopsida; Poales; Poaceae. The record is from RNAcentral.
AUGGCAGGUUCGUUCAAGACCAUUCUCGACUCAACUAAUAACAUCAUUACAAGGAACCGAAGGGUCCAGGAGCGGCUUGAUCUCCCCUAUCUUCUUCGCCGUGACCCUGCUGACUGGUGCGGGGACGAGGGAAGCCUCGCCUUGUGUAAGUUGAUGCCGCUUGAUAAUGAUACGUAUGAUGUUAAGAUGCCAUCGCUUGAGGGCAAGGCUUGGGCAGGCGCAAAUGCAGAUUGGGUUGUUUAUAUUGGGUACAACUGCGAGUGGGAACUUGUGAAUGUGUACACUCGUCAUCGGGUUCCACUUCGAAAAAUCUCAGACGACUGCCCAGAGAUUGAGUACACCGGUAUUCUAUGUGAGUUCAAAUACGAUCAUGCUGACUGUCAUCUACGGAAGAUAGCAAUUUGUCGAGAUCCCAGCCGCUCUUGGGGUUAUAGGAAUGCUUAUGUUGUUGCCAUCUUCGACAAGCUUGUUGCCGUCCUUCAUGGUUCGACUCGAUGGAUAUUGCUCAAAAAUCAGUUUCUAUACACGGUGAGUACUGUGAUGCAAUUCAAUACGAGGGUCUUAUGUUUGCUGCCACCACUCAUGGCACUUUUUUGCAUGGAAUCCUUAUGA